RNAcentral lists this ribosomal RNA (485 nucleotides) under Starmerella bacillaris. Its description in RNAcentral is "eukaryotic LSU rRNA". It matches the Rfam family "Eukaryotic large subunit ribosomal RNA", at positions 49 to 559 of the family's 3401-position model. Lineage: Eukaryota; Fungi; Ascomycota; Dipodascomycetes; Dipodascales; Trichomonascaceae. The record is from RNAcentral.
AGCGGAGGAAAAGAAACCAACAGGGAUUGCCCUAGUAACGGCGAGUGAACAGGCAAGAGCUCAGAUUUGAAAGGCACUUUUGUGCCGUUGUAUUCUGAAGUUAGGGUCCUGAGAAACGAUGCUUAAGUCUUCUGGAAAGGAGCGCCAUGGAGGGUGAUAGCCCCGUCUAGCAUUGACCUCAUAUAGGAUCUUAACAUGGAGUCGAGUUGUUUGGGAAUGCAGCUCAAAUGGGUGGUAUGCUCCAUCUAAAGCUAAAUAUCUGCGAGAGACCGAUAGUAAACAAGUACUGUGAGGGAAAGAUGAAAAGAACUUUGAAAAGAGAGUGAAAAAGUACGUGAAAUUGUUGAAAUGGAAGGGUAGGCCGCUAACCAUGUAGAGCCGUGUUUGGGGGGAAGAUAAAUGCUGUAGAAUGUAGCUCCUCGGAGUAUUAUAGAUGCAGUUCAUAUUCCCACCCGAGCGCGAGAUUCACACUUCUCGUUCCCCGU